Molecule: ribosomal RNA, 467 nt
Filed under: uncultured bacterium
Lineage: Bacteria
Description: partial 16S ribosomal RNA
Rfam family: Bacterial small subunit ribosomal RNA
Source: RNAcentral
GACGAACGCUGGCGGCGUGCUUAACACAUGCAAGUCGAACGGAAAGGCUCCAGCUUGCUGGAGUGCUCGAGUGGCGAACGGGUGAGUAACACGUGGGCAAUCUGCCCUGCACUCUGGGAUAAGCCUGGGAAACUGGGUCUAAUACCGGAUAGGACCUUUCUCCUCAUGGGGUUUGGUGGAAAGUUUUUCGGUGCAGGAUGAGCCCGCGGCCUAUCAGCUUGUUGGUGGGGUAAUGGCCUACCAAGGCGACGACGGGUAGCCGGCCUGGGAGGGUGAUCGGCCACAUUGGGACUGGGAUACGGCCCAGACUCCUACGGGAGGCAGCAGUGGGGAAUAUUGCACAAUGGGCGAAAGCCUGUUGCAGCGACGCCGCGUGAGGGAUGACGGCCUUCGGGUUGUAAACCUCUUUCAGUAGGGACGAAGCGCAAGUGACGGUACCUGCAGAAGAAGCACCGGCUAACUACGUG